This 616-nucleotide ribosomal RNA is filed under the name uncultured bacterium. Its description in RNAcentral is "bacterial SSU rRNA". The stretch from base 1 to 518 matches the Rfam family "Bacterial small subunit ribosomal RNA", at positions 338 to 873 of the family's 1533-position model. The record is from RNAcentral.
CCUACGGGAGGCAGCAGUGGGGAAUAUUGGACAAUGGGCGAAAGCCUGAUCCAGCAAUGCCGCGUGAGUGAAGAAGGCCUUCGGGUUGUAAAGCUCUUUUACCCGGGAAGAUAAUGACUGUACCGGGAGAAUAAGCCCCGGCUAACUCCGUGCCAGCAGCCGCGGUAAUACGGAGGGGGCUAGCGUUGUUCGGAAUUACUGGGCGUAAAGCGUACGUAGGCGGCUUUGUAAGUCAGAGGUGAAAGCCCACGACUCAAUCGUGGAACUGCCUUUGAGACUGCUUCGCUUGAAGAUGGGAGAGGUUAGUGGAAUUCCGAGUGUAGAGGUGAAAUUCGUAGAUAUUCGGAAGAACACCAGUGGCGAAGGCGGCUAACUGGACCAUUCUUGACGCUGAGGUACGAAAGCGUGGGAGCAAACAGGAUUAGAUACCCUGGUAGUCCACGCCGUAAACGAUGAUAACUAGCUGUCGGGGCUCUUGGAGCUUCGGUGGCGCGAGCUACGACAUUAAGUUAUCCGUCCGUCGGGUAGGUACGGUCCGGCGAACGGUUAAACGUAACAACUAGAAGUUAGUACGGACGUGAGACGUACGCCGAACGACGACCGACGAGGGAGUAGG